This 717-nucleotide ribosomal RNA is filed under the name bacterium. RNAcentral's name for it is "bacterial SSU rRNA". It matches the Rfam family "Bacterial small subunit ribosomal RNA", at positions 37 to 800 of the family's 1533-position model. The record is from RNAcentral.
UGGAUGCGGGCAGCUACACAUGCAGUCGAACGGGCUCUUCGGAGCUAGUGGCGGACGGGUGAGUAACACGUGGGAACGUGCCUUUAGGUUCGGAAUAAGCCCGGGAAACUGGGUCUAAUACCGAAUGUGCCCUUCGGGGGAAAGAUUUAUCGCCUUUAGAGCGGCCCGCGUCUGAUUAGCUAGUUGGUGGUGUAAUGGACCACCAAGGCUACGAUCAGUAGCUGGUCUGAGAGGAUGACCAGCCACAUUGGGACUGAGACACGGCCCAAACUCCUACGGGAGGCAGCAGUGGGGAAUCUUGCGCAAUGGGCGAAAGCCUGACGCAGCCAUGCCGCGUGUAUGAUGAAGGUCUUAGGAUUGUAAAAUACUUUCACCGGUGAAGAUAAUGACUGUAGCCGGAGAAGAAGCCCCGGCUAACUUCGUGCCAGCAGCCGCGGUAAUACGAAGGGGGCUAGCGUUGCUCGGAAUUACUGGGCGUAAAGGGAGCGUAGGCGGACAUUUAAGUCAGGGGUGAAAUCCCAGAGCUCAACUCUGGAACUGCCUUUGAUACUGGGUGUCUUGAGUGUGAUAGAGGUAUGUGGAACUCCGAGUGUAGAGGUGAAAUUCGUAGAUAUUCGGAAGAACACCAGUGGCGAAGGCGACAUACUGGAUCAUUACUGACGCUGAGGCUCGAAAGCGUGGGGAGCAAACAGGAUUAGAUACCCUGGUAGUCCACGC